GUCGAGUCUGUUUUGCCUGUGACAGUAAUUGGAAGAUAAACCAGUGAGUGGAGAAACAACUACAGAAGUGGAAGAGGCAGUAAUUCCCUUUGUCUGGGCUGGAGAAGUACCUGGAAGGUCGAAAAGAGCUGAUCCUAUAAGAAUAGAUUUUAAAGCCAGAAUCGCCACUGGUAAGGUUGAAACAGUACCCUAUGAAAAUUGAAGCUAAACUGGGAUUAUUACCAUUGAUACAAAAGUUUUUAAAAUAUGGAUUAUUAAAGGAGUGUGAGUCUAAGUGUAACACCCCAAUUCUGCCAGUGAAAAAGGUAGAUGGAAAAACGUACAGAUUAGUUCAGGAUUUAAGGUCUAUCAAUCAAAUAGUGCAGGAUAUAUGGUUGCAAAUCCAUAUACCUUACUGACAACCCUGACGGAAAAGCAGGGUUAGUUUGCAGUAUUGGAUUUAAAAGAUGCCUUUUUUCUGCAUCCCGCUUGCCUUUGAAAGUCAGGAGAUGUUUGUUUUUGAGUGGGAAAAUCCAGAGACGGGAAGGCAAACUCAAUAUACCUGGACUGUACUGCCACAGGGGUUUAAAAAUAGCCCCACUAUUUUUGGAAAUCAGCUUGCUAAAGAACUCAAAAUUUGUCAAACUGAAAACAGAGAGGGUGUUAUGUUACAAUAUGUAGAUGAUAUUCUAUUGGCAGGAGAAACUCCUGAAGAAUGUUUGAAAUUAACUAUAAGUCUUCUGAACUUUCUUGGAAUUAGUGGUUAUCGAGUGUCAAAGGAGAAGGCCCAGAUAGCUCAAGAAACUGUGAUGUACCUGGGCUUUGAAGUCCUUAAAGGUCACUGACAACUAUCUGCGGAAAGGAAAGAAGCUAUUUGUUGACUUCCAGAGCCAAGCACGCUUCGAGAGCUGCAAACCUGCUUAGGAAUGACAGGAUGGUGUCGUCUGUGGAUUGAUGAGUAUAGGCUAUUGGUGAAACCAUUAUAUGAGAUACUGAAAACCUCCUCAAAUAAUUGUUUAAAAUGGACUGAGGAAGGAAGAGCUGCUUUCAAAAAUCUUAAACAAGCAUUACUGAGAGCACCUGCGCUUGCAUUACCCAAUUUGGUGAAACCUUUUGAGUUAUUUGUCCAUGAACGAAGAGGAAUAGCACUGGGAGUACUUACCCAAUUUCUUGGACUUUUGGGUCGAGCAGUAGCAUAUUUCUCUAAGGAAUUAGAUAUUGUAAGUCAAGGAUGGCCUGGCUGCCUAAAAGCUGUUGCACCUACUGUGAUGUUAAUACAGGAAGCUCGGAAGUUUACCCUGGGUCAGAAGAUUACUGUAUAUGUACCACAUAUGGUAAUCACAGUAUUAGAACAAAAAGGGGGACAUUGCUUAGCUCCAAGCCGAAUGAUAAAAUACAAGUGAUUCUGCUAGAGCAAGAUGAUACACAGCUUAAGACAACAAUGGUUGUGAAUCCUGCUACUUUCCUAGCGACAGAACAGGCGGAAGAGAAUCCAGAACAUGACUGUUUACAAACCAUAGAGGAAGUGUAUGCCAGCAGGUCAGACUUAAAAGACACUCCCCUUGAAAAUCCAGACUUAGAAUUAUAUACUGAUGGGAGUAGUUUUGUUCAAAAUGGAAAGCGAGUGUCUGGAUAUGCACUAACAACAAUAGCUGAAGUAGUGGAAGCAUGAGGCCUAUCAUCAAAAGUAUCUGCACAAAAAGCUGAAAUAAUUGCUCUCACUAGAGCUUUGGACUCGAGUAAAGGGAAACGUGUAAAUAUAUGGACAGACUCAAAAUAUGUAUUUGGAGUGAUACAUGCCCAUGGGGCUAUAUGUUAGAAGAGAGGCCUAUUGACUACACAAGGAACAACAAUAAAGCAUAAAGAAGAGAUCUUGAAACUUUUAGAAAGUAUCCAAGCUCCUGCUGAAGUAGCUGUAAUGUAUUGCAAAGCCCACCAGUCUGGAUCAACCACUCAAAGUCAGGGAAAUAAACUAGCUGACUGGGCUGGAAAAAGGGCUGCAGAAAAAGGCACACAAGUGGAAACUUUUGUCAUAACUCCAGAAUGGAAAACAGUGUUGCCAGAUAAACCCCUAUAUGAUAAACAAGACUCAAAAUUAAUUGAGACCUUAAAAGCAGAAAAACAAGAAGAUGGAUGGGUGGUUACACCAUUGGGCCUAGUGGUAGUUCCCUACUCCCUCAUGAAUGAAUUAGUGAGAAAAGAACAUUACUCUGUUCAUUGGGGAACUGAGAAUUUGUUAAAACAUUUACAGAAAUUGAUUAUUAGUAAGAACAUGGUAGAAAGUGUAUGAUCCGUAACUGAAAGAUAUGAAGUGUGCUGUAAAAAUAAUCCCCAAACACAGAAUAGAAUUCAUUUCGGGCAAAUAACUGAGGGAAGAGCACCUGGUGAAUAUUGGCAAAUUGACUUUACUGAAUUACCCAGGACAAGAGGAUUGAAAUAUUUGUUAGUCUUUGUAGACAUAGAUACUGGGUGGCCUGAAGCCUUUCCAUGUCGCACCAAUAAAGCUCGAGAAGUUGUAAAAAUUUUAUUAAAAGAAAUAAUUCCUAGAUUCAGAAUACCUUUUGGGAUGUCAUCGGAUAGGGGUCCUCAUUUCAUAGCCAAAAUAAUUAUGGAAUUGGCUAAAAUGUUAAAUAUUACUUGGGACCCACAUACACCUUAUAGACCUCAAGCUAGUGGGAAAGUUGAGAGAAUGAAUUGUACUCUCAAAACACAAAUGAGUAACCUGUGUCAGGAAACUUCAAUGGAUUGGACACAAGUUUUACCCUUAGCUUUGUUAAGAAUCAGAAUACAACCUAGGGGCAGACAACGUUUGAGCCCCUGUGAAUUGUUAUAUGGAAGGCCAUAUCAGACUCCUGGACUACCAGGAGAGAUGAGAAUACAAGGAGAAAGUGAUGUAGGCAAUUAUUUAAUUGCUUUGGGAAAAACUCUGCAAGAAUUAAACAUGUAUGUGGAGUUGAAUAAACCUCUGAAUCUUGA
Molecule: long non-coding RNA, 2955 nt
Organism: Aquila chrysaetos chrysaetos
Lineage: Eukaryota; Metazoa; Chordata; Aves; Accipitriformes; Accipitridae
Exons: 2
Source: RefSeq, a predicted model, not a curated record